UCUGGUUGAUCCUGCCGGAGGUUACUGCUAUCAGUAUUCGACUAAGCCAUGCGAGUCGAAUGUAGCAAUACAUGGCGUACUGCUCAGUAACACGUGGACAACCUACCCUCCGGACGGGGAUAAACCCGGGAAGCUGGGUAUAAUACCCGAUAGAUCUCGACUGCUGGAAUGCAUCGAGAUCGAAAGCUCCGGCGCCAGAGGAUGGGUCUGCGGCCUGUCAGGUAGUAGUGGGUGUAGCGUACCUACUAGCCUACGACGGGUACGGGUUGUGAGAGCAAGAGCCCGGAGAUGGAUUCUGAGACACGAAUCCAGGCCCUACGGGGUGCAGCAGGCGCGAAAACUUUACAAUGCCGGCAACGGCGAUAAGGGGACCUCGAGUGCCAGGUUACAAAUCUGGCUGUCGUGAUGCCUAAAAAGCAUUGCAUAGCAAGGGCCGGGCAAGACCGGUGCCAGCCGCCGCGGUAACACCGGCGGCUCGAGUGGUAACCGUUAUUAUUGGGUCUAAAGGGUCUGUAGCCGGCCGGAUAAGUCUCUUGGGAAAUCCAGCAGCUCAACUGUUGGGCUUUCAGAAGAUACUGUCUGGCUCGAGGCCGGGAGAGGUGAGAGGUACUUCAGGGGUAGGGGUGAAAUCUUAUAAUCCUUGAAGGACCACCAGUGGCGAAGGCGUCUCACCAGAACGGACCUGACGGCAAGGGAC
This 697-nucleotide ribosomal RNA is filed under the name uncultured Methanosaeta sp. RNAcentral's name for it is "bacterial SSU rRNA". It matches the Rfam family "Archaeal small subunit ribosomal RNA", at positions 1 to 705 of the family's 1478-position model. The record is from RNAcentral. Lineage: Archaea; Methanobacteriati; Methanobacteriota; Methanomicrobia; Methanotrichales; Methanotrichaceae.